GGAGCUGUGGCUCAGUGGUAGAGCAUUUGUUUGGCAUGCAAUAGGUCACAAGUUCAAUUCCCUGCAACUUCA
This 72-nucleotide transfer RNA is filed under the name Sphaerodactylus townsendi. RNAcentral's name for it is "tRNA-Ala". It matches the Rfam family "tRNA". From Rfam's summary of the family: Transfer RNA (tRNA) molecules are approximately 80 nucleotides in length. Their secondary structure includes four short double-helical elements and three loops (D, anti-codon, and T loops). Lineage: Eukaryota; Metazoa; Chordata; Lepidosauria; Squamata; Sphaerodactylidae. The record is from RNAcentral.